Molecule: ribosomal RNA, 253 nt
Filed under: uncultured bacterium
Lineage: Bacteria
Description: partial 16S ribosomal RNA
Rfam family: Bacterial small subunit ribosomal RNA
Source: RNAcentral
AACGUAGGUUCCGAGCGUUAUCCGGAUUUACUGGGCGUAAAGCGCGUUCAGGCGGUUUGACAAGUCGGGCAUGAAAUCUCUCGGCUCAACCGGGAGAGGUUGUCCGAUACUUUCAGACUUGAGGGCAGUAGAGGGUGGUGGAAUUCCGGGUGUAGCGGUGAAAUGCGUAGAUAUCUGGAGGAACACCGGUGGCGAAGGCGGGUCUCUGGGCAGAAACUGACGCUGAGGAGCGAAAGCGUGGGGAGCGAACAGG